Molecule: transfer RNA, 75 nt
Filed under: Deinococcus altitudinis
Lineage: Bacteria; Thermotogati; Deinococcota; Deinococci; Deinococcales; Deinococcaceae
Also listed under: 4 other names
Description: tRNA-Thr
Rfam family: tRNA
About the family: Transfer RNA (tRNA) molecules are approximately 80 nucleotides in length. Their secondary structure includes four short double-helical elements and three loops (D, anti-codon, and T loops).
Source: RNAcentral
GCCAGUGUAGCUCAGGGGUAGAGCAACUGAUUCGUAAUCAGUAGGUCGUCAGUUCGAAUCUGACCUCUGGCUCCA